AGAGUUUGAUCAUGGCUCAGAUUGAACGCUGGCGGCAGGCCUAACACAUGCAAGUCGAGCGGAUGAAGGGAGCUUGCUCCUGGAUUCAGCGGCGGACGGGUGAGUAAUGCCUAGGAAUCUGCCUGGUAGUGGGGGACAACGUUUCGAAAGGAACGCUAAUACCGCAUACGUCCCACGGGAGAAAGCAGGGGACCUUCGGGCCUUGCGCUAUCAGAUGAGCCUAGGUCGGAUUAGCUAGUUGGUGAGGUAAUGGCUCACCAAGGCGACGAUCCGUAACUGGUCUGAGAGGAUGAUCAGUCACACUGGAACUGAGACACGGUCCAGACUCCUACGGGAGGCAGCAGUGGGGAAUAUUGGACAAUGGGCGAAAGCCUGAUCCAGCCAUGCCGCGUGUGUGAAGAAGGUCUUCGGAUUGUAAAGCACUUUAAGUUGGGAGGAAGGGUUGUAGAUUAAUACUCUGCAAUUUUGACGUUACCGACAGAAUAAGCACCGGCUAACUCUGUGCCAGCAGCCGCGGUAAUACAGAGGGUGCAAGCGUUAAUCGGAAUUACUGGGCGUAAAGCGCGCGUAGGUGGUUCGUUGAGUUGGAUGUGAAAUCCCCGGGCUCAACCUGGGAACUGCAUCCAAAACUGGCGAGCUAGAGUAUGGUAGAGGGUGGUGGAAUUUCCUGUGUAGCGGUGAAAUGCGUAGAUAUAGGAAGGAACACCAGUGGCGAAGGCGACCACCUGGACUGAUACUGACACUGAGGUGCGAAAGCGUGGGGAGCAAACAGGAUUAGAUACCCUGGUAGUCCACGCCGUANCGAUGUCGACUAGCCGUUGGAAUCCUUGAGAUUUUAGUGGCGCAGCUAACGCAUUAAGUCGACCNCCU
Molecule: ribosomal RNA, 870 nt
Filed under: uncultured bacterium
Lineage: Bacteria
Description: bacterial SSU rRNA
Rfam family: Bacterial small subunit ribosomal RNA
Source: RNAcentral